RNAcentral lists this ribosomal RNA (253 nucleotides) under uncultured bacterium. RNAcentral's name for it is "partial 16S ribosomal RNA". It matches the Rfam family "Bacterial small subunit ribosomal RNA", at positions 524 to 776 of the family's 1533-position model. The record is from RNAcentral.
UACGAAGGGGGCUAGCGUUGCUCGGAAUGACUGGGCGUAAAGGGCGCGUAGGCGGGUGCUCAAGUCUGUGGUGAAAUCCUCCGGCUCAACCGGAGAACUGCCAUGGAUACUGGGCGUCUCGAGUGUGGUAGGGGUAUGCGGAACUAUCGGUGGAGCGGUGAAAUGCGUUGAUAUCGAUAGGAACUCCGGUGGCGAAGGCGGCAUACUGGACCACCACUGACGCUGAUGCGCGAAAGCCAGGGGAGCAAACGGG